Molecule: ribosomal RNA, 478 nt
Filed under: uncultured bacterium
Lineage: Bacteria
Description: bacterial SSU rRNA
Rfam family: Bacterial small subunit ribosomal RNA
Source: RNAcentral
GAGGAAUAUUGGUCAAUGGGCGCGAGCCUGAACCAGCCAAGUAGCGUGAAGGAUGAAGGCUCUAUGGGUCGUAAACUUCUUUUAUAUGGGAAUAAAGUUUUCCACGUGUGGAAUUUUGUAUGUACCAUAUGAAUAAGGAUCGGCUAACUCCGUGCCAGCAGCCGCGGUAAUACGGAGGAUCCGAGCGUUAUCCGGAUUUAUUGGGUUUAAAGGGAGCGUAGGUGGAUUGUUAAGUCAGUUGUGAAAGUUUGCGGCUCAACCGUAAAAUUGCAGUUGAAACUGGCAGUCUUGAGUACAGUAGAGGUGGGCGGAAUUCGUGGUGUAGCGGUGAAAUGCUUAGAUAUCACGAAGAACUCCGAUUGCGAAGGCAGCUCACUAGACUGUCACUGACACUGAUGCUCGAAAGUGUGGGUAUCAAACAGGAUUAGAUACCCUGGUAGUCCACACAGUAAACGAUGAAUAUUCGCUGUUUGCGAUA